GAUGAACGCUGACAGAAUGCUUAACACAUGCAAGUCAACUUGAAUUUGGGUUUUUAACUUAGGUUUGGGUGGCGGACGGGUGAGUAACGCGUAAAGAACUUGCCUCACAGGUAGGGACAACAUUUGGAAACGAAUGCUAAUACCUAAUAUUAUGAUAAUAGGGCAUCCUAUAAUUAUGAAAGCUAUAAGCGCUGUGAGAGAGCUUUGCGUCCCAUUAGCUAGUUGGAGAGGUAACGGCUCACCAAGGCGAUGAUGGGUAGCCGGCCUGAGAGGGUGAUCGGCCACAAGGGGACUGAGACACGGCCCUUACUCCUACGGGAGGCAGCAGCGGGGAAUAUUGGACAAUGGACCGAGAGUCUGAUCCAGCAAUUCUGUGUGCACGAUGAAGUUUUUCGGAAUGUAAAGUGCUUUCAGUUGGGAAGAAACAAAUGACGGUACCAACAGAAGAAGUGACGGCUAAAUACGUGCCAGCAGCCGCGGUAAUACGUAUGUCACGAGCGUUAUCCGGAUUUAUUGGGCGUAAAGCGCGUCUAGGUGGUUAUGUAAGUCUGAUGUGAAAAUGCAGGGCUCAACUCUGUAUUGCGUUGGAAACUGUAUAACUAGAGUACUGGAGAGGUAAGCGGAACUACAAGUGUAGAGGUGAAAUUCGUAGAUAUUUGUAGGAAUGCCGAUGGGGAAGCCAGCUUACUGGA
RNAcentral lists this ribosomal RNA (692 nucleotides) under uncultured Fusobacteriota bacterium. RNAcentral describes it as "bacterial SSU rRNA". It matches the Rfam family "Bacterial small subunit ribosomal RNA", at positions 28 to 733 of the family's 1533-position model. Lineage: Bacteria; Fusobacteriati; Fusobacteriota. The record is from RNAcentral.